GUGAAGGAAGGAAGGGGUGACUGGUGAUAGUUAGGGAGGGAGUGACUAGUGACAGAGUGAGGGAGCGGGUGACACAGUGACAGAGAGAGGGAUGGGGUGACUAGUGACAGUCACCCCCUCCCUCUGUCACUAGUCACUCCCUCCCUCUGUUACUAGUCACUCCCUCACUCUGUCACCAGUCAUCCCCUCACUCUGUCACCAGUCACCCCUUCCCUCCCUCACUCU
Pelobates cultripes (western spadefoot toad) is the source of this 225-nucleotide non-coding RNA. Lineage: Eukaryota; Metazoa; Chordata; Amphibia; Anura; Pelobatidae. The record is from the annotation of a GenBank genome assembly.